This 777-nucleotide ribosomal RNA is filed under the name uncultured Actinomycetes bacterium. RNAcentral describes it as "bacterial SSU rRNA". It matches the Rfam family "Bacterial small subunit ribosomal RNA", at positions 91 to 883 of the family's 1533-position model. The record is from RNAcentral. Lineage: Bacteria; Bacillati; Actinomycetota; Actinomycetes.
UCGAGUGGCGAACGGGUGAGUAACACGUGGGUGAUCUGCCUUGCACUUCGGGAUAAGCUUGGGAAACUGGGUCUAAUACCGGAUAGGACAGCUGUUUAGUGUCAGUUGUGGAAAGUUUUUUCGGUGCAAGAUGAGCUCGCGGCCUAUCAGCUUGUUGGUGGGGUAAUGGCCUACCAAGGCGUCGACGGGUAGCCGGCCUGAGAGGGUGUACGGCCACAUUGGGACUGAGAUACGGCCCAGACUCCUACGGGAGGCAGCAGUGGGGAAUAUUGCACAAUGGGCGGAAGCCUGAUGCAGCGACGCCGCGUGGGGGAUGAAGGCCUUCGGGUUGUAAACUCCUUUCGACAGGGACGAAGCGUAAGUGACGGUACCUGUAUAAGAAGCACCGGCUAACUACGUGCCAGCAGCCGCGGUAAUACGUAGGGUGCGAGCGUUGUCCGGAAUUACUGGGCGUAAAGAGCUCGUAGGUGGUUUGUCGCGUCGUCUGUGAAAUUCCGGGGCUUAACUCCGGGCGUGCAGGCGAUACGGGCUGACUUGAGUGCUGUAGGGGAGACUGGAAUUCCUGGUGUAGCGGUGAAAUGCGCAGAUAUCAGGAGGAACACCGAUGGCGAAGGCAGGUCUCUGGGCAGUAACUGACGCUGAGGAGCGAAAGCAUGGGUAGCGAACAGGAUUAGAUACCCUGGUAGUCCAUGCCGUAAACGGUGGGCGCUAGGUGUAGGGGGCUUCCACGUCUUCUGUGCCGUAGCUAACGCAUUAAGCGCCCCGCCUGGGGAGUAC